This 72-nucleotide transfer RNA is filed under the name Heterocephalus glaber (naked mole-rat). It matches the Rfam family "tRNA". Rfam says of the family: Transfer RNA (tRNA) molecules are approximately 80 nucleotides in length. Their secondary structure includes four short double-helical elements and three loops (D, anti-codon, and T loops). Lineage: Eukaryota; Metazoa; Chordata; Mammalia; Rodentia; Bathyergidae. The record is from Rfam by way of RNAcentral.
AGGCGUGUGGCUCAGUGGUAGUGUACUUGCCCAGUACUCAUGAGGCUCUGGGUUCAAUCCCCAGCACCCCAA